Molecule: long non-coding RNA, 544 nt
Filed under: Mus spicilegus (steppe mouse)
Lineage: Eukaryota; Metazoa; Chordata; Mammalia; Rodentia; Muridae
Description: lncRNA (ENSMSIG00000031319.1)
Source: RNAcentral
UCAUAAAUGGUGGGUCAGCCCAGGUGUUCUAGGGUAUCCCUACAACCCCAAGGGGUGGAGACAGGAACAGCAUAAAUAUACAACGGGAUGGUAGAUGUGGGUCUGCUGUGCCAGAAGAUGAAGAUGAAACAGCUGUAAGCUACUAGAAGCUGGGACAGCCACGUGACCCACGGCCUCUGGGUGUUUGCAGAGACAUCAGCGUUUACCCAGUCCCGAGUUAUGUGCCUUGGGUCCCAAGGGAGCUCACAUUAUGGUAGGAAAGCAAGCAGCACAAAUGUGGAAGACCCCUGCUUGGAUCCUGACUUGGCGCCCUUUGUGUUCUUUCAGAAGGACACGGGUGUUUCUGGGCCCAGAGUGCCUCUGCAGCAGAUACAGGCAUCUUGUUCUGCUGGCGUGAAGAUCCAAGAGCUGAUGCUCCAGGCAGACACCACCAGGGCACAUCUCUACUUCCACAGAUUCUUCAUUCUGAUGUGACAUGGAGGAAGAAAAUGUCUUUCAUAUCAAAAGCCAGUGUUUUAUCUAAAUAAACUUAGCUGUCAGUUCA